GUGGUCAGGAAGAAGUCAAAUCUUCUAGAGGAGGUAGGUCACUCCUGCCCCUUAACGCCUCAGUCCAGCUCUCCUCUAGGACCUCAGAGACUCCACUUCGCCCAUUUGCCAGUCAGUUCUUGCACUUUUCCACGGUGGAAAAUAUUCUUAUAUUGCUGCCAGUGCAGAAUCAACCACUGACCUACCAGAAUCCACCAUGGACCUGGAGUCACCCACAGAUGUGUACCUGGAGAACACCCAGGCUUUCCAAAAUGAAGCAAAUUCUCCAUUAGCUGUGAUGAUCACUGCUAUCCACUACUUUCUAAGAAGAUUCUAUGCUUUUGAGCAUGCCUACCACUACACUAUAGGAGAUCUAUUGUAGAAGACUAGAAAAACAUAGGAUGUGCCCAGCUGAGGCAUUGAUCCUGGCUGGGUAGGGGGAAUUGUUCAGGGAUGGGGAAGGGGCACUUCUUAGCUGUGUCUCAUCGAGUACGGG
This 475-nucleotide long non-coding RNA is filed under the name Homo sapiens (human). Its description in RNAcentral is "non-protein coding lnc-PRB1-1:6". Lineage: Eukaryota; Metazoa; Chordata; Mammalia; Primates; Hominidae. The record is from RNAcentral.